Molecule: long non-coding RNA, 1682 nt
Organism: Lytechinus pictus (painted urchin)
Lineage: Eukaryota; Metazoa; Echinodermata; Echinoidea; Temnopleuroida; Toxopneustidae
Exons: 2
Source: RefSeq, a predicted model, not a curated record
GGCGGAUCCAGGAUUUCCAAAAGGGGGGGGGGGGCACAUUUUCGCCUGGAAAAACUUGACAAGCAAAAAAAAAAAGGUUAUCGCCCAAAAUGUAAGGUCAUUUUGUAUUUGCACCUAAGACAUUGGAGUAGAAUAUGGACCCAUAUUUAAGGACAUUAUCUAAAAAUUGGGCCAUGCUUAGGGAUUUUCCAGCAUAAAACCAUACGCCAUGUUUAGGGAUUUCUUCAAAAAAGGCGACCCAUUCCUGCGGCAUAUCCCCAUAUGCCUUAUCUCGUGAGUACCCCCCCCCCCUACCCCCUGGGCUACUAUGUAGCUGACUCUUGAUUUUUAUGCAAGCACAUGAGGUGCUAUAUAGAUGACAGAUUUUUUUUCACUUUAAAUUGUUAAAUGGAUGAUUACAAUGCUUUUCCAGGUGCUUUCAGUUAAAGGGUGUCUCGUAUGAUGCAUCAUUAUUAAUAUUGAAUGCAUAAUCAUGAUUUUUUUUUUACAUCCUUUUACAUCAAGCACAAUACUCGGGGGGGGGGGGCAUAUGGCAUAUGGUCCCCCUUGACAUUUUUCAGAAUAAAUCUGCCACUCAAAAUUGUAUUCCUGCACCGCUGACUGACGUUUUACUUUCAAGUCUCACACAACUUUUGAUACUAAAUUUGCCAUUCCCAGGUACAGGGUCAGGAAAUUUUGCAACAUUAUGUUUGUUUAAGUACAUGUCAGACAAAAACAUGAUUACAUGUAAAAAGUCAAUAUUCAUAACUGGGUAAUUUUUUUUUAUUGACAAUAGUAAUUUAAUGUCACUGAUGAACUUUGUCUUGAAAAUAACAAUAAAAAAAAAAUUUAAGAAGUUAAGAAAAAAUAUUUAAAAAAAAACAUGAAUUGAAAGGAAUUUAUUUUGAUACCAGAUUUGUUAAAGUAAAGAAGUUAGGAUUGCUCUAGAAAGGAAUAUGUACACCAAAGUUUGGCAUUCUAUUACGAGCUUUUUUAGUAAAUUAAAGCAAAAGGUAUGAUUUCAUAAUUUUUUUAAUUGCGCCGCCCAUGGCUGAGGAACCAUAUAGUGCCCCUCCCCAGGCCAGAAGUGACUUUAAUCAAAACACCCUUGGACUACUAUAAUGAUUAACACACUGGCAACUGAGCUUGUAUAUUAAUUUUAUGAAUAUGUUUUAUCUCUUUGCUUUUUGCUUUUAAUUGCUUACUACAGUUAUGAAAAAGAAGUCUGGAACCUCAGAACCACCAUAACUGUGUCUGCUACAAUGUGUGUUCUUGCAACCAGCUGAUUGAUUCAUUUUAUCAACUCUUGAAUGGUUGAUUAUCAGAACUGAAUUCAGAGCUGCUCCUGUCUGUAGUAACAUCAUUAUAAGAGUGGACUUCAGAAUGAGGGCGUUGCUUAUUUAAAAACUUCACUCCAUGGAGCUCUCCAAAUUUAUCUCAAAUUAAACUGCUUCUGGAAACCAGAUUUGUUCCUACAAGCAGAGACGAUUGUGGCUUUCCUGACUGGACUUCUAUGGAUUCUUCAUGCCAACCUUAUGGACUGUGGUCUUCUGCAUGAGACACAUCAAUUUCAAACAAGACAUUCUGUGGUGAAACACUUGAUGAAGAUGAUAUGAAAUUUUUAUUUCAUAUAACUGAAUCUCAGAAGUAAUUCCUCGAGAGCAAGAAACAUUGAAAAAUGAAAAUAAAAGGUCCAUCAAUAA